Molecule: ribosomal RNA, 491 nt
Filed under: uncultured bacterium
Lineage: Bacteria
Description: partial 16S ribosomal RNA
Rfam family: Bacterial small subunit ribosomal RNA
Source: RNAcentral
AGUGAACGCUGGCGGUAGGCCUAACACAUGCAAGUCGAACGGCAGCACAGUAAGAGCUUGCUCUUACGGGUGUCGAGUGGCGGACGGGUGAGGAAUACAUCGGAAUCUACUUUUUCGUGGGGGAUAACGUAGGGAAACUUACGCUAAUACCGCAUACGACAUACGGGUGAAAGCAGGGGAUCUUCGGACCUUGCGCGAUUGAAUGAGCCGAUGUCGGAUUAGCUAGUUGGCGGGGUAAAGGCCCACCAAGGCGACGAUCCGUAGCUGGUCUGAGAGGAUGAUCAGCCACACUGGAACUGAGACACGGUCCAGACUCCUACGGGAGGCAGCAGUGGGGAAUAUUGGACAAUGGGCGCAAGCCUGAUCCAGCCAUACCGCGUGGGUGAAGAAGGCCUUCGGGUUGUAAAGCCCUUUUGUUGGGAAAGAAAAGCAGCAGGUUAAUACCCCGCUGUUCUGACGGUACCCAAAGAAUAAGCACCGGCUAACUUCGU